UGCAAUCGUCGAGUGUUACGUGCUAUUCCUUUUAUGAAUUAAAAAUGUUUCCAAACUGUCUAGACGUUAUACCCAUACAGCUAUAUUAAUCGCGUUGUGCACAGCUGGUGUUCUCCAGAGUGAAAUUCGACGAUCUCUGUCGAUCGCAUAAAGAUGAUACUGAAAACAGAAAAAUGGAUUUGCCGAUCGGAAUGUACGGCUCGUUUCGUUUUCCACUUCGAUGUCAACUUAAAAACUACGAGUAAAAAGUUAUACACUCCUUUAGUGUUUCGCAACGGUCGGAGGGUGGACGUACGAUAGUAAUAAUAACGAUAAUACGACAAUAAAACGAAGAACAAACGUUGGUUCAUCGAUCGUCAACUCAAAAGCUACUGUGUGUAAAAACAACACGGGCAUCGCGCCGCGGAGUAAAAGGUGUUCGUGCGGUAUUCGACGUCGAAGCCACCGAACCCAACCGGCGAAGGAGAACGAACGAGGGGCAAAAAAAAAAAAAAAAAUAAACUCCUAUGUAAUACUUUAUCGCUGAAAAAUAUUUAAAUAGUGUUCAUGCAAAGUAAAAUGUGCGUAUAUUUAUCGUACGAUUUGCAUUUUAUUGGCAACCUGCAUCUCCUCCGAAAGUCUGCAACGAACAGUAGGUAACCGUUUUCCUUCCAACAAAGUCAACCGCGGUGCUUUGCUGGUGUUAACAAAUGUUUUUUAUUAUUUUUUUUUUUUUCUAACAAAUACACUACAGCACGUUGUCUAUAGAUUUUCAUACAGUUGGAUUACAUUUUCGAAUAGAAUUUGGUCCAAUUGGCGUUCAGAUAUUUGUUUCACAUUAUUAAUAAUUCACAAAUUAGAAACCAAUUUUAUUCGUAAUAUUAUUAUACUGUCAUAAAAUAUUUUUGUGUCGUUGGAUAUGGUUCGAUUAAUGCCUGCUCGAUAUUUUGGAAAUCAAUCAUAAUGCGCAAUAUUAUAAUUUAAAUGUUUAGAAAAUAUUCAAAUUAUAUUUCUGAAUAAAUAGUUACAAAUACUUCAGCAAUAACGGCUAGUUAAAAAUGCCCCAAGAACAUAACACUACGUAGUACAAGAAACAUGUUAUAACGCGAUAUUAUAUAAAAAUAAUAUUAUAAUAUCGGUCCAUUUACGAAUGGAAAAUCAUACGAGUAAGUAUUCCUAAUAUUAUAGUCUGUAUUAAAUAUAAAAACAACGGUGAUAUUAUUAUAAUUUUAUGAAACGUACUAACUAUACUAUACACAAUCAGUGGUGUAACGAAUUUUUUUUC
Molecule: long non-coding RNA, 1264 nt
Organism: Sipha flava (yellow sugarcane aphid)
Lineage: Eukaryota; Metazoa; Arthropoda; Insecta; Hemiptera; Aphididae
Exons: 3
Source: RefSeq, a predicted model, not a curated record